Chenopodium quinoa (quinoa) is the source of this 3089-nucleotide long non-coding RNA. RefSeq lists it as uncharacterized. The record is from RefSeq and is a predicted model, not a curated record. The transcript is spliced from 2 exons. NCBI's taxonomy places the organism in Eukaryota, Viridiplantae, Streptophyta, Magnoliopsida, Caryophyllales, Amaranthaceae.
ACGAACAUAUCAUUGGGACACUCGGGUGUAAAGUCAAAAUGUAUCUAAUAAAAGGAACAGAUAGAGUAUUAGAGUAACUCCAAUGGUAAGCUAAUUAGCAAAUUAGUUUUUUUGGCCACAUAAGAUUUUAAAGCUAAUUUUUUUGUAGCUAAUUUGCGCCCUGGCUACUAGCUUGUGGUGUUUUCCAGAGAGAAGAAGAAUGGAUUUUGGAGUAAGUGCAAUUAUUCUAUGGUUUUGUCUCACUCUCUUUGUAGUAUGGGUGACUGGUGGGAACAUUGUUUUGGUAAUUUUGGAGAGGAUAUGGUGAGUUUAAUUACCAUGUGUUGGGCUAUGUGAGGCACAAGGAACAAAUGGAUGAUUAAGGGUGAAAAUUCGAAUGUUGAGCAAAUUGUUGCCUAUGCUUUGAAGAUUAAAGGUGGGAAAGUUGAAUAACAUGGGGAAUGGAGGGGUGGAAAGAGUGUCUCUGUGGGCAGGUCUCCUCCGGCAUUUGGUGUGGUUAAAAUUAUUGUUGAUGCUGGUGUUUUGGGGGAGGUGGGGACGGUGUUGGGUGCAAUCUGCAGGAAUAGUGAGGGGGUGGUGCUUUGGGGAGCUACAGUGUAGUGGAGUGAAAAAUGAGAGACUAAGAUUGCAGAGGUGAAAGCGGUAUUUUGGGGCAUGAAGAUUGCGAGACACAAGGGUAUGAGCUGCAUUGGGAUCGAGAGUGAUAAUAUGGUGGUGAUUGAGGCAAUGAAGAAGCGUUUGUAUGGCUCCAGUUCCUUUCAUCUGAUUAUAAAGGAUAUUCUAGAUUUUUUUUUUCGUCUAAUUUUACUAGUGAUUCAUGGUCUUUUGUAAAGCAAUGGGGUAAUAAUGUAGCACACAAAUUAACUUACUUUCAAUCAUGGGAGUUUGGCCAAUGGGUGUGAAGUGAUGUAAUACCUCAUCGCAUUUUGGAAAUUUCUUCGGUUGAUCUAGAUGGGUUUUUUUUCAAAAAAAAAAAAAAAGUAUUAAAAUUGUCACUUACAAAGUUAUUCACUAAUAAUUUUCUGUUUUACACAGAUCACUAACUAACUCAUACAAUUAACUAACUCAUACAUAUCUACACUUGCUAGUCUGCAACUGUAUUUAUAAUAAAAUGUAGGUGACCGUCAGCUAAUGUUAAAACCGCAAAGGUAACACUACCUAUACGAUUGCAUAGUUCACACUUCACAUGACACAAUUAAUUUGCCAUAAUGGCCACGACAAAAGAGUCAUCCUAACCACAUUUUUUUUAGGAAAACUCAUCCUAACCACAUUUAAGACAUGAUAACUUGUAAUUGACUUAUGUUACCAUACUUUCCUUUCGUUUGUUGUAAACUCAGUUUAAUUAAUGUAAUUUCAGCCGUUUUCAAAAUUUAAAAAAAAAAAAAAAACUUACAAACAAAUUAUACAAGCUUUGGUGUGUGAAGAUAGUAUUUGAGAAAUGGAAGUGUAAAGAUAAACUAAUACUUACUCUAAACCCUUAAAAGGUCUGCCCAACCCCUUAAUUGGACGAUCGUAUAAAGACUCAACCCAUUUAUUUAUUAGACGGAUCUAACCCAUUAAUAACUGUGGCGGGUCAUGGAUCAUGGCUUUUAAUAGGGAUCCAAGGCGUCCAACCCAUUGAAUUGCUCUAUUGAAGCGCAUUCAACGUUCUCCACUGAAGCGCAAUUGCCGUUCUCCGUUGAAUCUAGUUCUUGUAUCCCCAUUGAAGCAGCUUCUGAGCAUUCAACUAUGAAAUCAGAGCUCUUUUCCCUAGGGCUGCCGCCCCUCCUGCCCUUCCUCAGGGACGAGCCUGAUGAUAUCGAUCGUAACAUAAGGUUGUUUAAGGCAUUGUUUCAAAUUUCGCAUUGGAAUAAUGUUGAAGGAGUAUUGUAAGUAACCAUCUUUACCCUAUUUAGAAUUGAGUUUUAAUUAGUUGGAGAUAAAAAUGAUUAUGUAAUUCUUUGCUUGGAAUUCAUUUAGAAUUCAAAAUUUCAAAUGGCUCUAUAAUUUUGGAUAUUCUUGCUUUGAAUUUUCAUAUUUGAUGGUUUUGAUACAAAUUUCAUGUUUAUUUAAUUGUUCUUAACCACAGCCUACAACUGUUUGAUAUAAUCAAGAAUUAUAAAGUUGAUGAGGAUAAUUAUAUAAUCAAGAAGUUUGUAUUGAAUCUGUAGAAUUUGAUAUAGUUUUGCUAAAUUUUUCAUAUCAUUUUCUCUUAAGCAUUUCUCCAACCAUCAAUAAUUUUGCUUACAUAAUUUUUUUAACCACAACCUACAACCGUCCUUUAUUUUUGUUGGGCAAAAUCAUUAUUGGUUUGAGAAAUGCUUAUAAAGAGAAAAUGAUAUGAAAAAUUUAGCAAAAGGUAAUAACUUCCAAUAAAAUAAUACCUCAUCAAUAUCAAACACCAAAUAAUCACCUAAAAAAUUGUUGAAAAUGAAAAUCCAAGUGAAAGGGGGAAUUACUCUUGAAAAAUUAAAGUUUCAUCCCUGUUCCUAAAUUGAAGAACAGACGCAGCCCAAGUAUGAGAAGAGCUACCUGGAAAGAAGUGUUUGGUCUCCUCCUGAACUCGGGCGAGUUGAGCUUGAACUCACUCACUCACCUCCAUAUUCUUCUCGAUCUCCUCCUCUUUCACCCUGAAAAUCAACAAAGCAGAGCAUUUUCAAAUCUUACAUUUCUGUUUGUAUAUCACCCCCUCCUUUCACUAUCUCCCUCCUUCCUUCCAUCCCUCACCGAUUUUACCCUUCUCUUCUUCUUCCUCUUUAUGCAUUUCCAAGCUGUACUCCACUCUCUUUCCCUCCAUCAACGCCCUCCUCUCUGCCCUUUUGCUCCUUAAAUCUUAGUUCAAACAUUAUAGGAAGCCUUGUGUUAUUUCCUCAUGAUUCUCACUGGUUUCUUUCACUCACUUCUUCAACUACAUCACUAUCUUUCCCUCUUCUCUCAUCUCCCCCACCCCCCUCUUUCUCUAUCACCACCACUCUUAUCCAUUACAUCCACUCCUAAGGAAUAAGAGUUCCAAAAUUCAACUCCCCAAGAGUCAACAAACAAAGGGUUGUCCUGUUCCUUGUUUAGCACACCACAUCACCAAGCAAAGAAUCCCCAAGGUGGUUUUUUAC